Molecule: ribosomal RNA, 483 nt
Filed under: uncultured bacterium
Lineage: Bacteria
Description: partial 16S ribosomal RNA
Rfam family: Bacterial small subunit ribosomal RNA
Source: RNAcentral
AUUGAACGCUGGCGGCAGGCCUAACACAUGCAAGUCGAGCGGAUGAAGGGAGCUUGCUCCUGUCUUCAGCGGCGGACGGGUGAGUAAUUCCUAGGAAUCUGCCUGGUAUUGGGGGAUAACGUCCGUAAACGGGCGCUAAUACCGCAUCCGUCCUGAGGGAGAACGUGGGGGUUCUUUGGACCUCACGCUUUCAGCUGAGCCUAGGUCGGAUUAGCUAGUUGGUGGGGUAAAGUCCUACCAAGGCGACUAUCCGUAACUGGUCUGAGAGGAUGAUCCGUCAAACAGGACCAGAGACACGGUCCAAACUCCUAGGGGAGGCAGCAGAGGGAAAUAUUGGACAAUGGGCGAAAGCCUGAGGAAGCCAUGCCGCGUGUGUGAAGAAGGUCUUCGGAUUGUAAAGCACUUUAAGUUGGGAGGAAGGGCAGUAAAUUAAUACCGUGCUGUUUUGACGUUACCAACAAAAUAAGCACCGGCUAACUCCGU